This 370-nucleotide ribosomal RNA is filed under the name Rhizobium sullae. RNAcentral's name for it is "bacterial SSU rRNA". It matches the Rfam family "Bacterial small subunit ribosomal RNA", at positions 342 to 745 of the family's 1533-position model. The record is from RNAcentral. Lineage: Bacteria; Pseudomonadati; Pseudomonadota; Alphaproteobacteria; Hyphomicrobiales; Rhizobiaceae.
UGGGAGGCAGCAGUUGGGCGCAAGCCUGAUCCAGCCAUGCCGCGUGAGUGAUGAAGGCCCUAGGGUUGUAAAGCUCUUUCACCGGAGAAGAUAAUGACGGUAUCCGGAGAAGAAGCCCCGGCUAACUUCGUGCCAGCAGCCGCGGUAAUACGAAGGGGGCUAGCGUUGUUCGGAUUUACUGGGCGUAAAGCGCACGUAGGCGGACAUUUAAGUCAGGGGUGAAAUCCCAGAGCUCAACUCUGGAACUGCCUUUGAUACUGGGUGUCUGGAGUAUGGAAGAGGUGAGUGGAAUUCCGAGUGUAGAGGUGAAAUUCGUAGAUAUUCGGAGGAACACCAGUGGCGAAGGCGGCUCACUGGUCCAUUACUGACG